AAAGCGCUCUCCACUCCAACUCGCGACCCGCGUCGUCUCCCUGAUGCUCGGGGGAGAACCCUAGCCGCCGCUCCUGCCUUCCCCUCCUCCUCACGGGCGGAUUCUUGGUCGGGGGAGGCGCGGGACCGAUGGCGAAUGUGAGCUCUCCUCACUGGCGGCGGCAACCUAGCUAGGAGGCCCCCGGUGCCGUGGCCUGUGCCUCUGCGCGCCCGGCCGAUUGCUGUCCUUGGAGGCGCACACCACUGCGCAGCAGCGCGCCAAGCGGACCCUAUUAGCCGGACUGUUGCAGCCGCCCAGUCUGCCCAGGGGCUCCGGUGCCGUGGCCUGCCUCUGCCCGCCCGCCUGGCUGCUGUCACACAUGCGCGCACCACCGGCCAGCAGCGCGCCGAGCCGCCACUCUUUGCUAGACUGCUGGAGCCUCCCAGUCCGCUCAGGCGCGCUGCUGCGGCUGUGCCCGUUGCCUUCUUUCGAGAGACGUACCUCAUGCCCUGAUCCCCCAUUCCCCCAUGGGUGCUCACUUUCUCUGAAUCUCUGGUUUAGAUAAAUUUACAUCGAAUUUGACAAGAUUUUUGGUACAAAUCUGAAUUUGUCUAGACCCGGAAGCUCCUCCUGUUCUUCACCCUACUUCGAUUCAGUGGAGUCUCGAGACUGCAGGCAUGCGGCAGCCCCGGUUUCACAGGAGUCAGGCAGCCAUGUGCACGUCAACAGCGGCGCGUACAGCCGGUGGACGCUUGGGUCGUUCGUCAAUAGUGAAUCCCAUAACCAAUCUUCAAACAUGAUGAAACCAUAUCCAGGUAAAAAAUAGGUGUUUUGUGAAUUUUCAUGUGUUUAUUGCACCUCAACUUUUCUUAAUUGCUCAUUGGUGUGUAGUGAUGCACUAUGAAGUAAGUUAUCCGCCCCCCACAAAGACCCGUCAAACCUGCAAAGGUAGUUUCACCGCCGAAACCACAUUUUUUUUCUACCAUAUGCACUAAAAUGUUUUGCAUUUCCCUUGGCUUCAGACCCUUGGUUAGUGGUUCAUGAUUCGUUCGGCUGCUGAUGUUCUGAAAAGACCAUUGGUCAUUACUCAUUAGGUGUUGUCUCCAUUGCUAUUUUACUGUAUGAUAAAAUAAUUAUGGAUGUUUCUUACAAAUACUUGGUCAUUAGGUGUCACGGUUCUUAAUUUACUGUUUGGAAGUGACCAUGGAUACUAAAAUUAUCAUCAAGCGUUGUUUUCAUUCUUUAUUGUUCAUAUGAAACCCACCAGCCUUUUCUGAUUUCCGAAAGUUUAUGAUGAUUUUGGGCAUACCAAGCUAAAAGAAGAUAUCUUGCAAGUAAGUUUGAUAUAUUCGCGAUACAUCUUGAUAUAUAUGAUAUUCUUGCUGCUUUUAGGAUGACAGUGUGGACUUGGGCUUUUUGGAUGGAACAAAGAGUUGACCGAAACCGACACCAUUUAUUAUUAUGGAUGUAUGAGCCAUCUUACUGUAGGCGGUGGACCUUUUCUCGGAAGCACAACUUACUUUAUUUUAUGAUUUAUGUGUGUGUGUAAUCUCCAAUUUCGUUUGCAGGUAUACCAUUACUCUUCUCACGGUCUUGCAGAUGCACCACAUGUAGCUUUUCAGCCUUGCAAUUUAGAGAUUUUGAUUGAUACAUGCAUAUUGUUGGGCAGCCGCUCCUGAUCUGUUGUUGGGUGGCUGGCAUCCUUCAUGUUCUUGCCCAAAUUCAGAUUGGGGUGGUUUGGUUGUGGUGAUCAAGAUCAGGUCGGCCGAUGGUGGUAGUUGCAAACCUGUAGUGGCCCACCAUGGCUCCACGAUGUUGAAGGUCAGAUGCGGCGGGGUUCAUCCCUCCAGAUCUAAUGGUUGACUUCAGCAUGAGAUGUAGACUAAGAACGACCACUUGACGCAGAGGGAUGGUUAUGUGUAGCGGUGGCGGUUGCAAAUCUCAUGCAGCUACUGGGAUCAUGGAGAAGUCCUGGCAAUAACACAUGAGAGGCCCAGAUGAUGGUGAUACUUGUGCAUCCGGUCUCGAGUUUCGGGGUGAAGAGUCUAGGUCUGACCCAAGGUCGUCAUACCUAGCAAUGGCGGGGUGCAGACUAAGAACGACCACUUGACGCAGAGGGAUGGUUGUCUCAAAAGAAUGACAUGAUGUGGUCUCCACUCCGUGGGGUAGGGCUAGCUUGGGCUUCAAGCCUGGGAUCAAGCAUGCAAACCCGUCGACGAUAUUCCAGAGGAAUGAAGCAAGAGCUGCAUGUGCUUGUUCUCUUGGGCCUUUUUUUGCCAAAUAGCAUAAGUAACCACUCUUAGUCACUACAUAUUCAUUGGCAUUUAACAUGGUUCCUUCUUUC
Molecule: RNA transcript, 2323 nt
Organism: Triticum aestivum (bread wheat)
Lineage: Eukaryota; Viridiplantae; Streptophyta; Magnoliopsida; Poales; Poaceae
Exons: 3
Source: RefSeq, a predicted model, not a curated record